GUCCACGCCCUAAACGAUGUACACUUGAUGUCGGCCUGUAAGGGUCGGUGUCGGAGCUAACGCGUUAAGUGUACCACCUGGGGAGUACGCUCGCAAGGGUGAAACUCAAAGGAAUUGACGGGGGCCCGCACAAGCAGUGGAGCAUGUGGUUUAAUUCGAUGCAACGCUAAGAACCUUACCUAGGCUUGAAAAGCAUUCUAAACCUGUGAAAGCAGGGUACCCGCAAGGGGGGAUGUACAGGUGCUGCAUGGCUGUCGU
RNAcentral lists this ribosomal RNA (258 nucleotides) under uncultured bacterium. RNAcentral describes it as "partial 16S ribosomal RNA". It matches the Rfam family "Bacterial small subunit ribosomal RNA", at positions 793 to 1055 of the family's 1533-position model. The record is from RNAcentral.